Molecule: ribosomal RNA, 538 nt
Filed under: Hansenula anomala
Lineage: Eukaryota; Fungi; Ascomycota; Saccharomycetes; Phaffomycetales; Wickerhamomycetaceae
Description: Wickerhamomyces anomalus partial large subunit ribosomal RNA
Rfam family: Eukaryotic large subunit ribosomal RNA
Source: RNAcentral
AUUUGAAAUCUAGCACCUUCGGUGUUCGAGUUGUAAUUUGAAGAUGGUAACCUUGGGUUUGGCUCUUGUCUAUGUUCCUUGGAACAGGACGUCAUAGAGGGUGAGAAUCCCGUCUGAUGAGAUGCCCAUUCCUAUGUAAGGUGCUAUCGAAGAGUCGAGUUGUUUGGGAAUGCAGCUCUAAGUGGGUGGUAAAUUCCAUCUAAAGCUAAAUAUUGGCGAGAGACCGAUAGCGAACAAGUACAGUGAUGGAAAGAUGAAAAGAACUUUGAAAAGAGAGUGAAAAAGUACGUGAAAUUGUUGAAAGGGAAGGGCAUUAGAUCAGACUUGGUGUUUUACGAUUAUCUUCUCUUCUUGAGUUGUGCACUCGUAUUUCACUGGGCCAGCAUCGAUUCGGAUGGCAAGAUAAUGGCAGUUGAAUGUGGCUUCACUUCGGUGGAGUGUUAUAGCUUCUGCUGAUAUUGCCUGUCUGGAUCGAGGGCUGCGUCUUUUGACUAGGAUGCUGGCGUAAUGAUCUAAUGCCGCCCGUCUUGAAACACGG